GCCGCUAUGGUGAAAUUGGUAGACACGCUGCUCUAUUUUUU
This 41-nucleotide transfer RNA is filed under the name Lycianthes moziniana var. moziniana. RNAcentral describes it as "partial tRNA-Leu". Lineage: Eukaryota; Viridiplantae; Streptophyta; Magnoliopsida; Solanales; Solanaceae. The record is from RNAcentral.